AGGCAGCAGUGGGGAAUAUUGCGCAAUGGGCGAAAGCCUGACGCAGCGACGCCGCGUGGGGGAGGAAGGCCUCAGGGUCGUAAACCCCUGUCAGGUGGGACGAACCACGGAUCGGUCAAUACCCGGUCCGCCUGACGGUACCACCAGAGGAAGCUCCGGCUAACUCCGUGCCAGCAGCCGCGGUAAUACGGAGGGAGCUAGCGUUGUUCGGAAUCACUGGGCGUAAAGGGCGCGUAGGCGGUCGGGUAAGUCGGGUGUGAAAUUCCGGGGCUCAACCCCGCGAACUGCAUCCGAUACUGCUCGACUAGAGAGAGGUAGGGGCGAGUAGAAUUCCCGGUGUAGCGGUGGAAUGCGUAGAUAUCGGGAAGAACACCGGUGGCGAAGGCGGCUCGCUGGGCCUUAUCUGACGCUGAAGCGCGAAAGCGUGGGGAGCAAACAGGAUUAGAUACCCUGGUAGUCCACGCCGUAAACGAUGGGUACUAGGUGUUGGGAGGAUUGACCCUCUCAGUGCCGACGCUAACGCAUUAAGUACCCCGCCUGGGGAGUACGGCCGCAAGGCUGAAACUCAAAUGAAUUGACGG
Molecule: ribosomal RNA, 581 nt
Filed under: uncultured Actinomycetes bacterium
Lineage: Bacteria; Bacillati; Actinomycetota; Actinomycetes
Description: bacterial SSU rRNA
Rfam family: Bacterial small subunit ribosomal RNA
Source: RNAcentral